UGUAAGUCGCUCCCCAACAACCCAAGCCCAUUGUCCACCUCUCACGCCACACACAAACCUAACAAAAAUCCCCGCCGCCGCCACCACCACCACCAGGCACCACCACCGUACUCUUGGCCGAUAUUGUCACGCCGCUGCCCCUCCCACCCCGGGUGACGCCUCCCGAAGCUCCCGUCCAGCUGCGCUUCCCCAGCCUAAGGUGCCGCCCGGCUGUCCACUAACCUAGCGGCGGCUGUCGCCCACUGGUUCCCUGGCAUCGCCCCUAACCUGCCAGUUGAUUUGCUCGCGCCGUCGCGUCCUCCGACCGUGAUCUGCCUCGAGCCGCCACCUCCCCAGACCACAACCUACCUCGCGCCGCGACGGCCUCUAGCCACAACCUGCCUCCCGCCCCCACGACCUCCGAGGGGCCGCCCCACAGGCUGCAGCUUAGGAGACUCUCCGCUGUCCCUCUUCCACCACCGGCAACGUCUUCCCCACCCUCUCUGUCCUACCCUGUUUCCAAAUUUGGUUUUUGCAGGCUAUGGUGUGGCUGUCUAUUACUCAAGAUGAUUCCAUAUCAUAUCAUCAACUUUAGGAACCUUAUCUCAGCUGUCGUGGAUUUCAGAACAGAUCGUUGGCAUUGUUGCUUCAAGGGACAUGUAUGUUGCCUGUCCUUUUGCCUACUGAGCACACAAAACAAAUGUGUCUAUAAAUAUAUUUAAGUGAAACAACAUGCUCCCAUUUUUGGUCAAUCGGUAGAUCUGACUAAUACAUAAUUACAUAUAUUAUUCAGUCAUUUUUCAUAAUUUGAGUAAGCUGAAACUGAUGGUCUCAGAUGGUUUGUGUAUUAACUUUGAUAAGAACCUGCAUCUACAAAUACUGAGUAGAGGGUUGCCUUUUGUGCAUGAAUUUGUAGCAGGUGUGAUCUCUUGCCUGUGCUCUCCACUUGUCCUCACUCCUUGGGCCUUCCCUUUGCUUAUCACCAUACAUUUUAUACAGAGCGGUGUCACGAUGCAUCUCCUCUGCCUAGAUGAUGGACAGAGGGCCUAAGCUCUAGUUGGAGAUUAUUUGAAUGAUUCAGUUUUGGGGGAAGAAAGCGAGGGCCGUCGAGAAGGGGGGCCAAAGUGGGCGACCACCCAGGACCCCCAAUUCUAGGGGCCCCCAAAUCGCUGUUAUGUAUCAGGAUGAAAAAGGCCCAGCUUACCUGGAUCAUCCCUGAUGGCCUUGGCAUCAUUACAAGGAAGACAAGCUUUUCGACUCCAUCUGUAUGUGCCAGGAAAGGUGAAUCUCAGAGAUUUGUCUUGUAGACUGGUGGCAUGAUGCUACAACCAGUGUUCAAGGGGACAUGGUAAAAAGUAGCAAAUUCACGAGUUGAUGGAAGAUGUUAUCGUGAUCGCUCUUGUUCAGAACAUGGUUGACACAUUUUGUCAUAUGGAAGUUGAUGUUUGCUUGGCUGCUUUGUACCUAGGAUAUUAGCAAGCAGAAGGGCAGAAACGUAUAUGGGUCAAAUGGCAGAAAGUAAUCCCACAAGAUGAUAUAUGAUGUUCUGCUGAUCACUUUUGUUCAUAACAUGGUCGACACAUUUUCGUCAUAUGGAAGUUGAUGUUGACUUGGUGAUCAAAGACUUGGCCCCUUCCAUACUACCCCCUCCCCCCUCCUAAAAUAAGUGUCUUUGGGACGGAGGUAGUAUUUUGUAGCAGUCAAGUGAAAGAACAAUUGGUUUCUUAGGAACUUGAUCAUCAUAUUUUGUAACAGGCCACAUCCUACAUGUCAAACUUGUGUAUUUCCUAAAUGGUUGUAGAUAACUUGAGUGAAGAAAAUUAAUGGAUCUUCUAUAUAUGUUGAA
Molecule: non-coding RNA, 1825 nt
Organism: Triticum urartu
Lineage: Eukaryota; Viridiplantae; Streptophyta; Magnoliopsida; Poales; Poaceae
Source: RefSeq, a predicted model, not a curated record